GGCCCGGUGGUUCAGUUGGUUAGAAUGCCGCCCUGUCACGGCGGAGGUCACGAGUUCGAGUCUCGUCCGGGUCG
RNAcentral lists this transfer RNA (74 nucleotides) under Succiniclasticum ruminis DSM 9236. It matches the Rfam family "tRNA". From Rfam's summary of the family: Transfer RNA (tRNA) molecules are approximately 80 nucleotides in length. Their secondary structure includes four short double-helical elements and three loops (D, anti-codon, and T loops). Further hydrogen bonds mediate the characteristic L-shaped molecular structure. tRNAs have two regions of fundamental functional importance: the anti-codon, which is responsible for specific mRNA codon recognition, and the 3' end, to which the tRNAs corresponding amino acid is attached (by aminoacyl-tRNA synthetases). tRNAs cope with the degeneracy of the genetic code in two manners: having more than one tRNA (with a specific anti-codon) for a particular amino acid; and 'wobble' base-pairing, i.e. permitting non-standard base-pairing at the 3rd anti-codon position. Lineage: Bacteria; Bacillati; Bacillota; Negativicutes; Acidaminococcales; Acidaminococcaceae. The record is from Rfam by way of RNAcentral.